RNAcentral lists this transfer RNA (74 nucleotides) under Peptococcaceae bacterium SCADC1_2_3. It matches the Rfam family "tRNA". Rfam says of the family: Transfer RNA (tRNA) molecules are approximately 80 nucleotides in length. Their secondary structure includes four short double-helical elements and three loops (D, anti-codon, and T loops). The record is from Rfam by way of RNAcentral. Lineage: Bacteria; Bacillati; Bacillota; Clostridia; Eubacteriales; Peptococcaceae.
GUGGAAGUAGCUCAGUUGGUUAGAGCACCAGACUGUGGCUCUGGGGGUCGUGGGUUCAAGCCCCAUCUUCCACC